AUUUUAAUAGCUUAAUUAGAGCAUAGUAUUGAAGCUACUAAGGUAACAGAAUUGUUUUUAAAUA
This 64-nucleotide transfer RNA is filed under the name Choroterpides apiculata (nomen nudum). RNAcentral describes it as "tRNA-Phe". The record is from RNAcentral. Lineage: Eukaryota; Metazoa; Arthropoda; Insecta; Diptera; Culicidae.